Molecule: ribosomal RNA, 254 nt
Filed under: uncultured prokaryote
Description: partial 16S ribosomal RNA
Rfam family: Bacterial small subunit ribosomal RNA
Source: RNAcentral
ACGGAGGAUCCAAGCGUUAUCCGGAAUUACUGGGCGUAAAGAGUUGCGUAGGUGGCAGAGUAAGUUGGUAGUGAAAGCGUGUGGCUCAACCAUACACACAUUACCAAAACUGCUCAGCUUGAGUAUGGUAGAGGUUACUGGAAUUCCCUGUGUAGGAGUGAAAUCCGUAGAUAUAGGGAGGAACACCAAUGGCGUAGGCAGGUAACUGGACCAUUACUGACACUAAGGCACGAAAGCGUGGGGAGCAAACGGGA